This is a non-coding RNA of Notechis scutatus (mainland tiger snake), 135 nucleotides long. The record is from RefSeq and is a predicted model, not a curated record. NCBI's taxonomy places the organism in Eukaryota, Metazoa, Chordata, Lepidosauria, Squamata, Elapidae.
CUAUGUCAGUGGUUCUCAACCUUCCUAAUGCUGUGACCCUUUAAUACAGUUCCUCAUGUUGUGGUGACCCCCAACCAUAAAAUUAUGGCUUGGUUCCUAAGACCAUCGAAAAUAUAUGUUAUCUAGUGGUAUUAG